Molecule: ribosomal RNA, 206 nt
Filed under: uncultured bacterium
Lineage: Bacteria
Description: partial 16S ribosomal RNA
Rfam family: Bacterial small subunit ribosomal RNA
Source: RNAcentral
CGCGUAGGCGGAGCGCUAAGCGGGACCUCUAACCCGAGGGCUCAACCCCCGGCCGGGUCCCGAACUGGCGCUCUCGAGUGCGGUAGGGGAGAGCGGAAUUCCCGGUGUAGCGGUGGAAUGCGCAGAUAUCGGGAGGAACACCAGUGGCGAAGGCGGCCUACUGGGCACCAACUGACGCUGAGGCUCGAAAGUGUGGGUAGCAAACA